UACCUUUCCAGUAACUGUUGCACAAAGGGACAGACACUGCUGCAGAGAACUUGCCACGGUGUUUCAUGCUGCGGCUGGUGGUUCCAGGCUGCACGCUCCAUUCUAGAAAGGGCCCUCAGCCCAGCCCCUUGCAGGCUGGACCUUGGAGAGUGAGGCCCUGAGACGAGACAUGGGCACCUGGCUUCUGGCCUGCACCUGCGUCUGCACCUGUGUCUGCUCGGGAGUCUCUGUCUCAGGGGAUGGACGAGGGCCAAGGGCUGGAACCUCCACCUGCCUCACCAACAACAUUCUCAGGAUUGAUUGCCACUGGUCUGCCCCAGAGCUGGGUCAGGGCUCCAGCCCCGGGCUCCCCUUCAUCAGGCUGCUGGUGGCACACAGAAGUGCAUCUGGCAGGGCAGUGAGUGCACUGUAGUGUUGCCGCCCAAGGCAGCACUCCUGCCAUCUGACAAUUUCAUCAUCACUUUCUACCACUGCAUGUCCGGGAGGGAUCAGGUCAGCCUGGUGGACCUGUAGUACCUGCCCUGGAGACACGAGCACGUCAGCUCGCCACUGCAUCCUGACCUGGAGCCUCAGUCCUGCCUUGGAGUCAAUGACCACACUUCUCAGCUAUGAGCUGGACUUCAAGAGGCAGGAAGAGGCCUGGGAGCGGGCCCAGCACAGGGAUCACAUUGUCGGGGUGACCUGGCUCAUACUUGAAGCCUUUGAGCUGGACCCUGGCUUUAUCCUUGAGGCCAGGCUGCGUGUCCAGACGGCCAUGCUGGGGGAUGACGGGGCACAGGAGGAGCGAGGGGAGCCAGCCCGUGUGCUUCCAGGCUCCCCAGAGACAAGACCCUCUGAUCCCACCCUGGGGGUGGCCAGGCAACACCUUUGUUGCUGUGUCCAUCUUUCUCCUGCUGACUGGCCCGACCUACCUCCUGUUCAAGCUGUCGCCCAGACUCGGAUGGGGGCCCACAGGGCUGGUGUGCUGCUGAGCCAGGACUGUGCUGGCACCCGAUGAGGAGCCUUGGAGCCCUGCGUCCAGGAGGCCACUGCACUGUUCACCUGUGGCCCAGCGGGUCCUUAGAAAUCUGUGGGCCUGGAGGAGGAGCAGGAAGGCACUGGGACCUGAGCUCAGAGCAUGUGCUGCCAGCAGGGUGUACGGAGUGGAGGGCACAGCCCCUUGCCUAUCUGCCACAGGAGGACUUGGCCCCCACGUCCACCAGGGCAUGUUACUCCCUUCCGUCCUUAGCAAGGCUUGGUCCUGGAUGU
RNAcentral lists this long non-coding RNA (1248 nucleotides) under Homo sapiens (human). RNAcentral's name for it is "non-protein coding lnc-TUBB8P12-4:1". The record is from RNAcentral. Lineage: Eukaryota; Metazoa; Chordata; Mammalia; Primates; Hominidae.